AUUGAACGCUGGCGGCAGGCCUAACACAUGCAAGUCGAACGGUAACAGGAAGCAGCUUGCUGCUUUGCUGACGAGUGGCGGACGGGUGAGUAAUGUCUGGGAAACUGCCUGAUGGAGGGGGAUAACUACUGGAAACGGUAGCUAAUACCGCAUAACGUCGCAAGACCAAAGAGGGGGACCUUCGGGCCUCUUGCCAUCGGAUGUGCCCAGAUGGGAUUAGCUAGUAGGUGGGGUAACGGCUCACCUAGGCGACGAUCCCUAGCUGGUCUGAGAGGAUGACCAGCCACACUGGAACUGAGACACGGUCCAGACUCCUACGGGAGGCAGCAGUGGGGAAUAUUGCACAAUGGGCGCAAGCCUGAUGCAGCCAUGCCGCGUGUAUGAAGAAGGCCUUCGGGUUGUAAAGUACUUUCAGCGGGGAGGGAGGGAGUAAAGUUAAUACCUUUGCUCAUUGACGUUACCCGCAGAAGAAGCACCGGCUAACUCCGUG
This 490-nucleotide ribosomal RNA is filed under the name uncultured bacterium. RNAcentral describes it as "partial 16S ribosomal RNA". It matches the Rfam family "Bacterial small subunit ribosomal RNA", at positions 30 to 507 of the family's 1533-position model. The record is from RNAcentral.